AGUGAACGCUGGCGGUAGGCCUAACACAUGCAAGUCGAACGGCAGCACAGUAAGAGCUUGCUCUUACGGGUGGCGAGUGGCGGACGGGUGAGGAAUACAUCGGAAUCUACUUUUUCGUGGGGGAUAACGUAGGGAAACUUACGCUAAUACCGCAUACGACCUACGGGUGAAAGCAGGGGAUCUUCGGACCUUGCGCGAUUGAAUGAGCCGAUGUCGGAUUAGCUAGUUGGCGGGGUAAAGGCCCACCAAGGCGACGAUCCGUAGCUGGUCUGAGAGGAUGAUCAGCCACACUGGAUCUGGGGCACGGUCCAGACUCCUACGGGAGGCGACAGUGGGGAAUAUUGGACAAUGGGCGCAAGCCUGAUCCAGCCAUACCGCGUGGGUGAAGAAGGCCUUCGGGUUGUAAAGCCCUUUUGUUGGGAAAGAAAAGCAGCAGGUUAAUACCCCGCUGUUCUGACGGUACCCAAAGAAUAAGCACCGGCUAACUUCGUG
RNAcentral lists this ribosomal RNA (492 nucleotides) under uncultured bacterium. RNAcentral's name for it is "partial 16S ribosomal RNA". It matches the Rfam family "Bacterial small subunit ribosomal RNA", at positions 29 to 507 of the family's 1533-position model. The record is from RNAcentral.